AACGAACGCUGGCGGCAGGCCUAACACAUGCAAGUCGAACGCCGUAGCAAUACGGAGUGGCAGACGGGUGAGUAACGCGUGGGAACCUACCUUACGGUCGGGAAUAGCCCAGGGAAACUUGGGGUAAUACCGGAUACGCCCUUACGGGGAAAGAUUUAUCGCCCAAGGAUGAGCCCGCGUAGGAUUAGCUAGUUGGUGAGGUAAAGGCUCACCAAGGCGACGAUCCUUAGCUGGUCUGAGAGGAUGAUCAGCCACACUGGGACUGAGACACGGCCCAGACUCCUACGGGAGGCAGCAGUGGGGAAUAUUGGACAAUGGGCGAAAGCCUGAUCCAGCAAUGCCGCGUGAGUGAUGAAGGCCUUAGGGUUGUAAAGCUCUUUACCCGGGAUGAUAAUGACAGUACCGGGAGAAUAAGCCCCGGCUAACUCCGUGCCAGCAGCCGCGGUAAU
RNAcentral lists this ribosomal RNA (449 nucleotides) under uncultured bacterium. Its description in RNAcentral is "bacterial SSU rRNA". It matches the Rfam family "Bacterial small subunit ribosomal RNA", at positions 29 to 524 of the family's 1533-position model. The record is from RNAcentral.